Molecule: transfer RNA, 31 nt
Filed under: Carlia amax
Lineage: Eukaryota; Metazoa; Chordata; Lepidosauria; Squamata; Scincidae
Description: partial tRNA-His
Source: RNAcentral
AGAAUGUGGACCUAAUAAUAGAAGUUUAACU